CUCUGGUAUUCCGGAGAGCAUGCCUGUUUGAGUGUCAU
RNAcentral lists this ribosomal RNA (38 nucleotides) under uncultured soil eukaryote. Its description in RNAcentral is "partial 5.8S ribosomal RNA". The record is from RNAcentral.